RNAcentral lists this ribosomal RNA (814 nucleotides) under uncultured fungus. Its description in RNAcentral is "eukaryotic LSU rRNA". The stretch from base 257 to 410 matches the Rfam family "5.8S ribosomal RNA". The record is from RNAcentral. Lineage: Eukaryota; Fungi.
CUUGGUCAUUUAGAGGAAGUAAAAGUCGUAACAAGGUUUCCGUAGGUGAACCUGCGGAAGGAUCAUUAUCGAAUCUGAAAGGGGGUUGUUGCUGGCCUUUAGGGGCAUGUGCACGCCUCUGCUCUAUUCUCCUUCAACCACUGUGCACCCUUUGUAGGCUGGAGAAAUCUGGUCUAUGUUUUUUUAUACACACCUAAACAAGUAUUAGAAUGUCAUACUUUUCAGUACACUCGAGAGGGUGGAAAAAAAAUUAUACAACUUUCAACAACGGAUCUCUUGGCUCUCGCAUCGAUGAAGAACGCAGCGAAAUGCGAUAAGUAAUGUGAAUUGCAGAAUUCAGUGAAUCAUCGAAUCUUUGAACGCACCUUGCGCUCCUUGGUAUUCCGAGGAGCAUGCCUGUUUGAGUGUCAUUAAAUUCUCAACCCCCCGACGGAUUUGUUUCUGACGUGGGGCUUGGAUGUGAGGGUGUGCUGGACUCCAUUAGGAGGUCAGCUCCCUUUGAAUGCAUUAGCGGAUUUUACCAUCGUGGAUAGGCUUCGGACUGAUAAUUAUCUAUGCCGUCGCCGUGAAGCGGUAAUCUGCUCAUAACCGUCUUUGGACAAUUUUUUGACCAUUUGACCUCAAAUCAGGUAGGACUACCCGCUGAACUUAAGCAUAUCAAUAAGCGGAGGAAAAGAAACUAACAAGGAUUCCCCUAGUAACUGCGAGUGAAGCGGGAAAAGCUCAAAUUUGAAAUCUGGCGGCUCCGCCGUCCGAGUUGUAUUCUGGAGAAGCGUUUUCCGUGCUGGACCGUGUACAAGUCUCCUGAAUCCUU